RNAcentral lists this long non-coding RNA (188 nucleotides) under Mustela putorius furo (domestic ferret). RNAcentral describes it as "lncRNA (ENSMPUG00000028148.1)". Lineage: Eukaryota; Metazoa; Chordata; Mammalia; Carnivora; Mustelidae. The record is from RNAcentral.
CGAGGAACCCCAACACACCUCUGGUGCAGCGUCUCGGCGUCCUGGCUAACAGUACUGUAUCAGCUGGUAGGUCCAGGUUCCAACAAAACGUGACAAGACACCCACUCUCUGCCUCAGAAAGCCACGGUUUAAGAAGCGACCCUGGGAACAAGAGAGGCAUUUGGUCUUCUGUCCUGUUUCAUCCAGCC